UCGAAUCUAUCAUCCAUUUGGAAGUUUUUAAGUUUAUCCUCUGCAGUUCUAUCUUCUGUUGGAAAUGACAUUUACAAGGUAAGAUCAUAACGGUGUUUCUUAUAAAAUCUAAGCAGGACAUGUUCAUGAGUAAGACAAACUACCUCAUACUUACUAGAUUUUUUAACUGGAUUUCUCCUAGGACAGGAUUUGAGCUUGAAAAGAGACCUGGAAGUGUCAGUAUACAAGAGAGCAAUGAAUGCAAAGCUGCAAAUUAUAAUAGUGACAACGGAAAUGGGCAGUUUCCCUUUCGAAGGUUUCAUUGCAGCGGACUGAGAGGGCGCUAAGCUCAUUGCU
This 336-nucleotide long non-coding RNA is filed under the name Populus trichocarpa (black cottonwood). RNAcentral's name for it is "long non-coding RNA (PTRI_LNC003693)". Lineage: Eukaryota; Viridiplantae; Streptophyta; Magnoliopsida; Malpighiales; Salicaceae. The record is from RNAcentral.